ACACGACUACAUUAGAUACCCCUGUAGUCCCAGCCCUAAACGAUGCGCGUUAGGUGUAUCGGUGACCACGAGUCACCGAGGUGCCGAAGGGAAACCGUGAAACGUGCCGCCUGGGAAGUACGGUCGCAAGGCUGAAACUUAGAGGAAUUGGCGGGGGAGCACCACAACGGGUGGAGCCUGCGGUUUAAUUGGACUCAACGCCGGGAAGCUCACCGGAUAAGACAGCGGAAUGAUUGCCGGGCUGAAGACCCUGCAUGACCAGCUG
Molecule: ribosomal RNA, 265 nt
Filed under: uncultured archaeon
Lineage: Archaea
Description: partial 16S ribosomal RNA
Rfam family: Archaeal small subunit ribosomal RNA
Source: RNAcentral